This 45-nucleotide transfer RNA is filed under the name Phloiophilus edwardsi. RNAcentral describes it as "partial tRNA-Met". The record is from RNAcentral. Lineage: Eukaryota; Metazoa; Arthropoda; Insecta; Coleoptera; Phloiophilidae.
UAAGCUAGUGGGUUCAUACCCCGCAUAUAAAGGUUAUAAUCCUUU